AUGUACAUCCAGUCUGAGUGGAAAGAAUUUUGGAGGUCCGAUGGUGUGAGGCCUCCCCCGAUAUCCUGGUUAUGUGUAAUGCGUGUCAAGGGGCUGGGGGAUGUGCGCAGUUGCUAUGAGUAGUGGAGGGAGCACCAAACUCGAAGUGUGGCAUCGAUCAUUGGGUGGUCGGUUCGCAGGGUGUUGAAGGUCAUGUGGUCGAGCGAGAGUAAUGAUUUUUUGUAUUUUUUCCAUGUGGACUUAAAUAUUAGUGGUUGGGUAAGCAUGCCAAUCCGUCAUCCUAAGGAGGUAUCGAUGGAAGCCCGGUACCACCACGACUUUUGGGUAGUUCUAGUAGCGUUUUGCUGAUCCUGGAUGCCCGUCUGUUCCAGACAAACCUCCGGAUUGCGGUGGAAAUG
Molecule: non-coding RNA, 398 nt
Organism: Pelobates cultripes (western spadefoot toad)
Lineage: Eukaryota; Metazoa; Chordata; Amphibia; Anura; Pelobatidae
Source: the annotation of a GenBank genome assembly